This 717-nucleotide long non-coding RNA is filed under the name Marmota monax (woodchuck). The record is from RNAcentral. Lineage: Eukaryota; Metazoa; Chordata; Mammalia; Rodentia; Sciuridae.
CAUAUUUCCACCAUGCUGGGGUCCACCAAACUCAAAAGUUUCUCGCCAGCCCUCUCCUGUUACUAAUCAUUAAUCUCUCUCAAGCUUGUAUCCCAACCCACAGAUGGUGCUUCUACAUCCAAGCGGCAUGGCAACAGGAUGGCACCACCCGCUCUCAGUUUAUGGGCCAAGGCGAUUGCCCUUUCACUGGCUGUAAUUGGGCCCUUAAUGUUACUGGAUUCAACUAGGCCACCUCAUCCCACUUAUGUUUAGCAAUACUAUGCUUCAUAGCAUAUCAAACUGAGGAAUCCUGUUGAAGCCAUAUCACCAGGAGGCUGCCCCACCUGCUGACAACAAGACAACCCCAGAGGAGCUUCAAGAGUCAUCUCCUAGACCUCCCCUUUACUCCUGCUCUCCACAUCCCAACUAUCCUCUAAAGCUUCGCCUGUCCUGCGUAACCACACAUACUCCACCAUGACUCCCACUCUUCUAAUUGGUAUUUUCACUGUCAUCACCCUUCUCCCAGGGACAUCAUCGUCCUCCUCUUGUACUUGGAGAUUCAAAGUUAGAGAGACAUAUGUCCAAGGCAGCACUCGUUAUACUUGCCUGGUUUCUUCAGUUGAUUGCGCCCCUACAAGAUGUAAUGCAUCUAUCUUCCUUCCCCUCUCCUCCCAGAAUUCUGAACUUUUAAAAACAGCCACUAGGCCUUACCUUUGCUUCUUAUAUGAUCAGACACAG